Molecule: long non-coding RNA, 1172 nt
Filed under: Triticum aestivum (bread wheat)
Lineage: Eukaryota; Viridiplantae; Streptophyta; Magnoliopsida; Poales; Poaceae
Description: long non-coding RNA (TAES_LNC008401)
Source: RNAcentral
UUGCCUCAACUUAUAUAUUUUUAUUAAUAGAAACCAUUAGGAUUCAUCCGAAACCAGAAAACCGAAAGGGGCCUAGCAUUAAGUUCACACAUGUCAUAUCCUCUGCCUAAAGAACACAAAGUCGAGGUAACCAAAUGUGUAAACGACACCAGAUAAUCAUUAAGAGACAACAUUAUAUCAGCUAUAUGUAAUAAUGAGAAAGUAUCAAACAUAGGGAAUAUAUAAGCCGACAACAAGAUACUAGUCUAGUCCUUACUCUUCUUCCUCUUCUUCACUUGAAGUGGCCAGACUGGGGGUGUCGUCCUCGCAGAAGGAGUCUGGGUUCUUUCAUGGCCCUUUACAGAAGGACAUGGUGGCGCUGCCAGAGAUUGCAGAAAGAAUGAGAGAACGCAGGGAUGAAGAAAAGAGCAAUGAAGAUUGAAAUAGGCAUUGAUGGAUUAUAUUAGUGAAUUAGAGGGCAGUUUAGCCAGAUUGCCAAGUUACUUAGAGCAACUCCAACGUAGGGGCGGACACGGCAGGCACCCAACGCUAGAACGCAAAAACAGACAAAACGCCCCACCUCCUCCGUGUCAGCCGGCACCUCCUCCCGCCGCCCCUCCUCUCCCAGCGAGCUACCGCGUUGGGGACAUCUUUCUCCGUCCUCAUGGCUCCCACCCGCGCUAGCAGCCCGCAGAUCCGCGCUCGCACCCUCCGCGCGCAUGCCAGCAUCUGGCUUGCCAGAUCCCCUCGUCGCGCACGAGCAGGAGGCAGGGACGGCGGCGCUGCUUGGGGAGGGGCUCCGGCGAGGCAGCCCUGGCGGGGACCGGCCGAAAUAGGGAGAUCCGAGGCCGGAUCCGGGGCGGGUUGUCAACGACGGAGCUCGUAGCCGACGGCGGCGAGCUGCACAAGCGGGGUGGCGACGGUUAGAGAAGACAGAGAAAGACAUGGGAACGAGAGGAGCAGAGGGCACGAGCCUGGGGGUCGCCGGGGGGCGGCGGCGGCGGCACUUCUCGCCAGCGUGAGGAGGAGGUCGAGACCGGGUCGGCGCGUCUCCUCCAGUUACUCAGCGAGCGCCAAGAGGAGUAGCAGGAAGUGGCAGUGGGCAGCGAGCGCGGCGGUGGAGAUCUCCCAGUGGCCUCGCCAGUGCCUCGCUCCUCUUCGCGGUGGUUGUGGAGGCUGACGCCAGCUCGUGC